UACGUAGGUGGCAAGCGUUAUCCGGAUUUAUUGGGCGUAAAGGGAACGCAGGCGGUCUUUUAAGUCUGAUGUGAAAGCCUUCGGCUUAACCGGAGUAGUGCAUUGGAAACUGGGAGACUUGAGUGCAGAAGAGGAGAGUGGAACUCCAUGUGUAGCGGUGAAAUGCGUAGAUAUAUGGAAGAACACCAGUGGCGAAAGCGGCUCUCUGGCCUGUAACUGACACUGAGGCUCGAAAGCGUGGGGAGCAAACAGG
RNAcentral lists this ribosomal RNA (253 nucleotides) under uncultured bacterium. RNAcentral describes it as "partial 16S ribosomal RNA". It matches the Rfam family "Bacterial small subunit ribosomal RNA", at positions 524 to 776 of the family's 1533-position model. The record is from RNAcentral.